AGUAGGGGUAGUAUUAACUUUGUGUUUUUCCCCCUCUUCUUCCCCAUCCAACGAUCCAAAACUAAUUCCCAGAACCAGCGGCCCAUUUGACCAAAAAAAACAAAGAAUCACCAGAGGCCCAUACUGUUCGUUCUGUUCGACGGUGUUCGCCUUGUCAGUCCUCACCUUCUCUUCUGAAAUGGGUAACCCCCACUAGUUCAUCAUAUUUUUUCACCGUCAGAAUUUGUGAGGGGACGGGGAGCUAUUGGGUGAAGCUCCUCACACAAAUCAGACUAUGCUCUAUGAAGGCUUAAAAGAUUUGAGUAUGGGAAGCAAAUUACAAAAUCCAAAUUUUCAUAUUGAUAUUUCUAUUGAGGGAGUCAUGCUUAGAGGAGUGGCUGGUGGUACAAUGAAUGGUUGAAUGCAAUUAGUUGUGUAUGGAUGGCUGAAGAUGCACAAGGGAUGUUCAGAGGUAGCAGUCCAGCUUCAGAUCCUACUUUUAUGGUUGUGGAAUUUGUUAGAGACCAUUUCAAAGAAGGAUUAAGAACACGCAUAAAGUUGCUAGCAUGUUAGUAGAGAAGAAGAAUCGCCUCCAGAAUGGAUGCGGUGAUAAACUUCAUUGAAUUUUUUUUCCUAUCAUAUCUAUUUUGUUCAACUGGUUGGGGUAUUUACAUGUAUCCAAGUAAUACUUUGGACGA
Prunus avium (sweet cherry) is the source of this 677-nucleotide long non-coding RNA. RefSeq lists it as uncharacterized. The record is from RefSeq and is a predicted model, not a curated record. Lineage: Eukaryota; Viridiplantae; Streptophyta; Magnoliopsida; Rosales; Rosaceae.